This 2631-nucleotide non-coding RNA is filed under the name Drosophila persimilis. RNAcentral describes it as "Eukaryotic large subunit ribosomal RNA". It matches the Rfam family "Eukaryotic large subunit ribosomal RNA", at positions 680 to 2377 of the family's 3401-position model. Lineage: Eukaryota; Metazoa; Arthropoda; Insecta; Diptera; Drosophilidae. The record is from Rfam by way of RNAcentral.
AUAUGUGCAAGUUAUUGGGAGAUAAACCUAAUAGCGUAAUUAACUUGACUAAUAAUGGGAUUAGUUUUUUAACUAUUUAUAGAUAAUUAACACAAUCCCGGGGCGUUCUAUAUAGUUAUGUAUAAUAAUAUUUAUAUUAUUUAUGCCUCUAACUGGAACGUACCUUGAGCAUAUAUGCUGUGACCCGAAAGAUGGUGAACUAUACUUGAUCAGGUUGAAGUCAGGGGAAACCCUGAUGGAAGACCGAAACAGUUCUGACGUGCAAAUCGAUUGUCAGAAUUGAGUAUAGGGGCGAAAGACCAAUCGAACCAUCUAGUAGCUGGUUCCUUCCGAAGUUUCCCUCAGGAUAGCUGGUGCAUUUUAAUGUUAUAUAAAAUAAUCUUAUCUGGUAAAGCGAAUGAUUAGAGGCCUUAGGGUCGAAACGAUCUUAACAUAUUCUCAAACUUUAAAUGGGUAAGAACCUUAACUUUCUUGAUAUGAAGUUUAAGGUUAUGAUAUAAUGUUCCCAGUGGGCCACCUUUGGUAAGCAGAACUGGCGCUGUGGGAUGAACCAAAUGUAAUGUUACGGUGCCCAAAUUAACAACUCAUGCAGAAACCAUGAAAGGCGUUGGUUGCUUAAAACAGCAGGACGGUGAUCAUGGAAGUCGAAAUCCGCUAAGGAGUGUGUAACAACUCACCUGCCGAAGCAACUAGCCCUUAAAAUGGAUGACGCUUAAGUUGUAUACCUAUUCAUUACCGCUAAAGUAGAUGAUUUAUAUUACUUGUGAUAUAAAUUUUGAAACUUUAGUGAGUAGGAAGGUACAAUGGUAUGCGUAGAAGUGUUUGGCGUAAGCCUUCAUGGAGCUGCCAUUGGCACAGAUCUUGGUGGUAGUAGCAAAUAAUCGAAUGAGACCUUGGAGGACUGAAGUGGAGAAGGGUUUCGUGUGAACAGUGGUUGAUCACGAGUUAGUCGGUCCUAAGUUCAAGGCGAAAGCCGAAAAUUUUCAAGUACAAAAUCAGUGAGUAAUAUUGUCAAAUCUUUUAUGAUUUUUAAAUACUUGAAUAAUUUUGAACGAAAGGGAAUACGGUUCCAAUUCCGUAACCUGUUGAGUAUCCGUUUGUUAUUAAAUAUGGGCCUCGUGCUCAUAGAUGGUAGAUGGGCUAGAAGAGCAUGACAUAUACUGUUGUGUCGAUAUGUCUCCUCGGACCUUGAAAAUUUAUGGUGGGGACACGCAAACUUCUCAACAGGCCGUACCAAUAUCCGCAGCUGGUCUCCAAGGUGAAGAGUCUCUAGUCGAUAGAAUAAUGUAGGUAAGGGAAGUCGGCAAAUUAGAUCCGUAACUUCGGGAUAAGGAUUGGCUCUGAAGAUUGAGAUAGUCGGGCUUGAUUGGGAAACGAUAACACGGUUUAUGUGCUCGUUCUGGGUAAAUAGAGUUUCUAUCAUUUAUGGUAGUUACUUGUUCCCCGGAUAGUUUAGUUACGUAGCCAAUUGUGGAACUUUCUUGCUACAAUUUUUAAGAAUACUAAUUGGGUUAAACCAGUUAGUUCUUAUUAAUUAUAACGAUUAUCAAUUAACAAUCAAUUCAGAACUGGCACGGACUUGGGGAAUCCGACUGUCUAAUUAAAACAAAGCAUUGUGAUGGCCCUAGCGGGUGUUGACACAAUGUGAUUUCUGCCCAGUGCUCUGAAUGUCAAAGUGAAGAAAUUCAAGCAAGCGCGGGUCAACGGCGGGAGUAACUAUGACUCUCUUAAAUGCCCUACCAUCGAGGUCUCGUACCACGAGGGGCAGAAAUGAAUUGGAACGGCAAUGUCGUGCAGGUUGUGAUGCUCCCGAAACAACAAACCACAUCCUGCAGAAUUGUUACCGUACGCAUGGGAGGCGGGUAGCAAGACAUAACUGUGUAGUCAAUAACCUUAAGAGGAUUCUUGAGGAGAAGGGCCACACAGUGCACGUCGAACCAAGUUUGCAGCUGGAAACCUCGGUAAGUAAACCAGACCUGGUGUGUAUCCGUGACAAUCACGCUUGCGUGAUUGAUGUGCAGAUUAUAACGGAUGGACUGUUUCUCGACGAUGUGCACCAUCGCAAAGUUGAGAAAUAUAAAAGACCGGAAGUUAUAUCUGCACUGCGGAGAGAAUUCGGAGUGUCGGGCAACGUCGAAGUCCUAUCCGCGACGUUAAACUGGCGUGGGAUCUGGAGCAAUCAAUCCGUUAGAAGAUUGAUAGCAAAGGGUCUCAUCUCAUCCGGUGACAGCAAUGUCAUUAGCGCCAGAGUGGUAACAGGCGGACUAUAUUGCUUCAGACAGUUCAUGUAUCUCGCAGGUUACACUCGAGAUUGGACUUAGCCUAUACACUAUGUUGGAGAGAAGACGCUUGCUACCUAGGCAUAAUGUGAAAUUAGGUAUAAACAUCGUGGUUGUAAAACUUGAGGUGGGUUUUUAGUACGUAUGCGUGAUUACUUCGUAAUCAUGAAUCGUGCAUGCUAGUGGGGUUUGGCCUCCACUAGUAUCUUUGAAGAUUUUCCUUCCUAAGCGAUAAAAAAAAAAAAAAAAAAAUAGCCAAAUGCCUCGUCAUCUAAUUAGUGACGCGCAUGAAUGGAUUAAUGAGAUUCCUACUUGCGGCGCAGAACGCGAGGAUUGGAAGCACUUCCUAUGU